This 326-nucleotide ribosomal RNA is filed under the name uncultured soil bacterium. Its description in RNAcentral is "bacterial SSU rRNA". It matches the Rfam family "Bacterial small subunit ribosomal RNA", at positions 26 to 352 of the family's 1533-position model. The record is from RNAcentral.
AGAUUGAACGCUGGCGGCAUGCCUAACACAUGCAAGUCGAACGGGAGUAGCAAUACUCUAGUGGCGGACGGGUGAGGAAUACGUAGGAAUUUGCCCUUAAGUGGGGGAUAACCCGGGGAAACCCGGAUUAAUACCGCAUGACCUCGAAAGAGCAAAGUGGGGGAUCGCAAGACCUCACGCUUUUGGAGAAGCCUACGUCGGAUUAGCUAGUUGGUGAGGUAAUGGCUCACCAAGGCGACGAUCCGUAACUGGUCUGAGGAGAUAGAUACAGUACAACCGACCGGUAACUGACGACGACCGGUCCGGACCUCCGUACGGGAGGCAGC